RNAcentral lists this ribosomal RNA (252 nucleotides) under uncultured bacterium. Its description in RNAcentral is "partial 16S ribosomal RNA". It matches the Rfam family "Bacterial small subunit ribosomal RNA", at positions 524 to 776 of the family's 1533-position model. The record is from RNAcentral.
UACGUAGGUCCCGAGCGUUGUCCGGAUUUAUUGGGCGUAAAGCGAGCGCAGGUGGUUUGUUAAGUCUGGUGUAAAAGGCAGUGGCUCAACCAUUGUAUGCAUUGGAAACUGGUAGACUUGAGUGCAGGAGAGGAGAGUGGAAUUCCAUGUGUAGCGGUGAAAUGCGUAGAUAUAUGGAGGAACACCGGUGGCGAAAGCGGCUCUCUGGCCUGUAACUGACACUGAGGCUCGAAAGCGUGGGGAGCAAACAGG